This 344-nucleotide ribosomal RNA is filed under the name uncultured Verrucomicrobiota bacterium. RNAcentral's name for it is "bacterial SSU rRNA". It matches the Rfam family "Bacterial small subunit ribosomal RNA", at positions 29 to 351 of the family's 1533-position model. The record is from RNAcentral. Lineage: Bacteria; Pseudomonadati; Verrucomicrobiota.
AACGAACGCUGGCGGCGUGGAUAAGACAUGCAAGUGGAACGCUGAUUGCCGGGUAGCAAUAUUCGGCAGUCGGAGUCGCGUAAGGGUGCGUAACACGUGGGUAAUCUACCGCGAAGACCGGAAUAACUUGCUGAAAGGCGAGCUAAGACCGGAUGUGAUUGCUUGGGGGCUUCCUCGGGCACUCAAAGUCGGGGACCGCAAGGCCUGGCACUUUGCGAUGAGCCCGCGGCCUAUCAGCUAGUUGGUGAGGUAACGGCCCACCAAGGCUUAGACGGGUAGCUGGUCUGAGAGGACGACCAGCCACACUGGAACUGAGACACGGUCCAGACACCUACGGGAGGCAG